This is a non-coding RNA of Paramuricea clavata, 1060 nucleotides long. The record is from the annotation of a GenBank genome assembly. NCBI's taxonomy places the organism in Eukaryota, Metazoa, Cnidaria, Anthozoa, Malacalcyonacea, Plexauridae.
CCCGUUGAAGAUAUAAGAAAUCCAUCCAGACGCAUGUAGAUGUCCUAUUACCUAUCCCAAAAUUAAAAUAAAUCCUGAAUACAUCAAGUAAAAUUAAAUAAAAGUUAGAAAGUAACAAAAUACUUCGCAAGAUAAUGAAAAUAACGAAGUGAAACAUUACUUCUUUAAACGACUGCGUUUCAAGUAAAAGUACUCCAAUGAAAGUUUACUUUGUCACAUGCCGACUUCUCAAAAAUAGAACUCAAGUACAGUAAUGAGGUACAUUUACUUCGUUUUAUUAUGGUAUUUAAUUAGAUUAAAUUCGAUUUUGUUAACAAAUCAAAGUUUGGUUUCAAAGUUUGUUUUCCACGUUUUACCCUCUUUUUCGCGUUUUACCCUCUUUUCCGCGUUUUACCCUCUUUUCCGCGUUUUACCCACUUUUCCGCGUUUUACCCUCUAUUCCGUCACUUACAUAGUCUUAGAGUUUGAUUCAGUAUUAUAUUUCACAAAGUACUUCAUUACAGUAAAGUAAUUUCAUUACAGUAUUAGCUAAUGUCACAAUUAAAGCUAUUUAUCAAAUUUAUCAUGCAGACUGCAUUCUCUAAAUGUCCUAAAUGUCAAACAUAUACAAUAUUCGUAUUUGUAACAUACACGCACAAACGAGUCUUUGACUUACCUUUGAGUAGGCUAUUGUCGGAUUAUUUUACCGUAGGUUUGAUAACAGGGAGGUAUACUUGGACAUAUUUCUUGAGCAUCAAGUUUCAACAGAUUCUGGUUUUUCGUAUCUUUGAGGAUGGUUCUGAAGUUUCAGCAGUCCGAGUAGCAUUGUUUACAAGCAACAUUGUUUGCGAUAUUUCAGAAAUCAAAAGAUCUCUAUAUUUCGUUACACAUCUCAGUAUUAAAGGCUUAUGACUCGAAAAUUAACGGUGUUGUUUUUUGGUCAAAUUUGAAAGAUCAUUGGAAACUGUAGAGUAACUUCUUUGACAGAUUUUUGUUUUCUUUCUUCGUUUUGGAGAUAUUUCAUUUUGUAUGAUAUGCAAAGGACCAACUUCGUACGUCACAUAUGCAUAAUGAUUUAGGC